RNAcentral lists this ribosomal RNA (424 nucleotides) under Chrysomela lapponica. RNAcentral's name for it is "partial 16S ribosomal RNA". The stretch from base 297 to 424 matches the Rfam family "Bacterial large subunit ribosomal RNA", at positions 2473 to 2601 of the family's 2925-position model. Lineage: Eukaryota; Metazoa; Arthropoda; Insecta; Coleoptera; Chrysomelidae. The record is from RNAcentral.
CAAUAGUUUUUUAAUUGAAAGCUGGAAUGAAGGGUUGGAUAAAAAAAUAACUGUUUCUAUUUAAUUUAAUUAGAAUUUUAUAUUUAAGUUAAAAAGCUUAAAUUUUGUUAAAAGACGAGAAGACCCUAUAGAGUUUAAUAAAUAAUUAUAUUAUUAUAUUUAGAAUUAAUUUUAUUAAUUAUAUUAUUUAUUUAAUUGGGGUGAUUAAGAAAUUCAAAUAACUUUUUUUAUAUUAUAACAUUUAUAGGUGAAUAUUUGAUCCAUGGUUAAUGAUUAAAAGAUAAAAUUACCUUAGGGAUAACAGCGUUAUUUUUUUUUAGAGUUCAAAUCGAAAGAAAAGAUUGCGACCUCCAUGUUGGAUUAAAAUAAAUUUUUGGUGUAGAAGCUAAAAUAUUAGGUCUGUUCGACCUUUAAAAUUUUACAU